UACCUACGGGGGGCAGCAGUAGGGAAUCUUCCACAAUGGACGAAAGUCUGAUGGAGCAACGCCGCGUGAGCGAUGAAGUAUUUUGGUAUGUAAAGCUCUAUCAGCAGGGAAGAAAAUGACGGUACCUGACUAAGAAGCCCCGGCUAACUACGUGCCAGCAGCCGCGGUAAUACGUAGGGGGCAAGCGUUAUCCGGAUUUACUGGGUGUAAAGGGAGCGUAGACGGCAGUGCAAGUCUGAAGUGAAAGGCAAGGGCUCAACCUUUGGACUGCUUUGGAAACUGUGCUGCUAGAGUGUCGGAGAGGG
Molecule: ribosomal RNA, 305 nt
Filed under: uncultured bacterium
Lineage: Bacteria
Description: bacterial SSU rRNA
Rfam family: Bacterial small subunit ribosomal RNA
Source: RNAcentral